Molecule: transfer RNA, 54 nt
Filed under: Linguatula arctica
Lineage: Eukaryota; Metazoa; Arthropoda; Ichthyostraca; Porocephalida; Linguatulidae
Description: tRNA-Arg
Source: RNAcentral
GCAUAAAGCGUUCACACGCAUACAGUUUCGACCUGCAUCCAUUCCCCCUAUGCU